RNAcentral lists this ribosomal RNA (350 nucleotides) under uncultured bacterium. Its description in RNAcentral is "bacterial SSU rRNA". It matches the Rfam family "Bacterial small subunit ribosomal RNA", at positions 355 to 722 of the family's 1533-position model. The record is from RNAcentral.
UGGGGAAUAUUGCACAAUGGACGAAAGUCUGAUGCAGCAACGCCGCGUGGAGGAUGACACAUUUCGGUGCGUAAACUCCUUUUAUAUAGGAAGAUAAUGACGGUACUAUAUGAAUAAGCACCGGCUAACUCCGUGCCAGCAGCCGCGGUAAUACGGAGGGUGCAAGCGUUACUCGGAAUCACUGGGCGUAAAGAGCGUGUAGGCGGGUAUAUAAGUCAGAAGUGAAAUCCAAUAGCUCAACUAUUGAACUGCUUUUGAAACUGUAUACCUAGAAUGUGGGAGAGGUAGAUGGAAUUUCUGGUGUAGGGGUAAAAUCCGUAGAGAUCAGAAGGAAUACCGAUUGCGAAGGC